CUAGUAAUGGCAGGUCAGCAUACUGCCGUGAAUACGUUCCCGGGUCUUGUACACACCGCCCGUCACACCAUGGGAGUCGGAAAUGCCCGAAGUCUGUGACCCAACCUCAGGGAGGGAGCAGCCGAAGGCAGGUCGGAUGACUGGGGUGAAGUCGUAACAAGGUAAC
Molecule: ribosomal RNA, 166 nt
Filed under: uncultured bacterium
Lineage: Bacteria
Description: partial 16S ribosomal RNA
Rfam family: Bacterial small subunit ribosomal RNA
Source: RNAcentral